RNAcentral lists this long non-coding RNA (430 nucleotides) under Rattus norvegicus (Norway rat). RNAcentral describes it as "long non-coding RNA NONRATT033304". Lineage: Eukaryota; Metazoa; Chordata; Mammalia; Rodentia; Muridae. The record is from RNAcentral.
ACUAUGUGAAACUGCUGAACUGGGCAUUUCUAAAGCUUCUAGCUGUGGCCUUUCUGCAUGGAGAGUCCUCUCAGGCUCACCGUAUUAUAAGCAAGUUACUAAUGGUGGAGACAGGGUCACCGAGGUGCCAAAGACACUGGGAUUAUUAAAGCUGUUAAGUGUCAAGUUUUACACUCGGCAGGGACAAGAACAGGAUGGAAUCUUCAAGAUGAGCCUUUCUCCUGACGGGAGCCUCCUUGCGGCAAUUCACUUCUCAGGGAAGUUGAGCAUCUGGGCUAUUCCGUCUCUGAAGCAGCAAGGCGUCUGGCGGCAAGAUGAGCAGCCAGGCUAUGAUGAGCUUAAUCCUGAUUGGACAUUGUCUCCUGAGAAGAGAAAGAAAGUAAAAGGUGAGUAGGGUAUAAGAAAUAUGAUUAUUACAGCUUUACAGGGG